Molecule: unclassified non-coding RNA, 314 nt
Filed under: uncultured Alphaproteobacteria bacterium
Lineage: Bacteria; Pseudomonadati; Pseudomonadota; Alphaproteobacteria
Description: contains 16S-23S intergenic spacer region
Source: RNAcentral
UCCGAUUUAAAUAUCGGCAGUCUCGCUAGAGUGCCCGGCAUAACCCGCUGGUAACUAGGGACGAGGGUUGCGCUCGUUGCGGGACUUAACCCAACAUCUCUGAUCCCGGCGACUCCCAUGUCAAGGGCUGGUAAGGUUCUGCGCGUUGCGUCGAAUUGAACCACAUGCUCCACCGCUUGUGCGGGCCCCCGUCAAUUCCUUUGAGUUUCAACCUUGCGGCCGUACUCCCCAGGCGGGGUGCUUAACGCGUUAGCUGCGACACUGACGAGCAAGCUCGCCAACGUCUAGCACCCAUCGUUUACGGCGUGGACUAC